GCCGCAGCCGUUGGUACAUGCGCUUCUCAACUAGCCCGGUAUAUCGGCUUCCCUCGACAUCAAGGGCAACAACCAAAUUACAUAUCCUAAAAAAGUAAACGAAAUGUUGGAAAUCGCAACUAUUACUUAAACCGUGUCCGAACUUUGGUUUUUUAAGUAAAUUAUGUAGAAGAGGUGCUGGGACACAGGCCGGGCCCUCACAUAAUGCAGCCUCAGUCGCGGACGGACACUAUAAACUUCGAAGAGUCACACGUGCUAUUACAACAUGAUUGUCUUUUGCAGGAUACUGCCGCGAUUACCUCAGUAAUGCCGUCUCUCAUCUAGACUCAUAGAUUACCUCAGUAAUGCCGUCUCUCAUCUAGACUCAUAGAUUACCUCAGUAAUGCCGUCUCUCAUCUAGACUCAUAUUGUGAUGGAAGCAACACUUGCGUUUGUGUUAACGGAAUGCCUUCUCAAUGCUUUCAAAGCAACUGUGCUCGAUUCAGAGGAGGAAAUAUACACUGGUGAAGAGAUAAACCAAAGACUGAAACAGUCGCGUUUCCUGUUAUAUUUCAUGUAAUGCAUUAUUUUUGUUAAAUGACGUACAUACUUGUUGAAAUGAUUAAAAAAUGUGAAAUAUA
Molecule: long non-coding RNA, 620 nt
Organism: Dreissena polymorpha
Lineage: Eukaryota; Metazoa; Mollusca; Bivalvia; Myida; Dreissenidae
Exons: 2
Source: RefSeq, a predicted model, not a curated record